GGGGAGAUCAUUAAUACAAAGCAUUGGAGUCGGUUUUGGAUUUUCACUUGUUGUUGGCUUUAAUAUGAACAGUCACAUAAAAUUCAUUCCAAUUUUUUGCCUUUGCUUCAAUUAGGAUGUUUCUUUAAAUCUACAACACCUUCCUUUUCGAAAAGUUUACUGACAUAGUAAAGAAGUAGCUAGGGAACUCAGUGAGUAUGAGCAACAAUAGCUUAAGGACACUAUGUCCAAUAAAGAGGAAUUCAUCAUCUGCAGUUCGUGAAAAAGCGCAAUAUUAAAAACAAUUCAGCAGACCCUCAGAGUGCGGAUACAUACUGUUUUCAGCUGUAGAGGUUAACUUCAUGCACUUAUCAACAUGUAGUUUAGAGGCUUGCAUUAGAGUGCUUUGGUGCUUGGGUAUCUUUUAUUUAGCAUGGUUGUACCGUUGUGAAUGUAGCUAUAUAAAUAAAUACGCUCAAGAGUCUAUCGUGUGUUUGACAUGCAACUAAAAAUUCGAAAAUAUAUUUUAAAUCAGUAACUUUGCAAAUUUAGAGGAUUUGUUUUCGGACAACAUAUGUGUCACAUUUUAAACAGGGUUUGUAUAAUCAGCACUGACAUACAGACAUUUAUGUGCUGGGUAUAACAGACAUGCUUACCGUGUGAAAGGCCCACCGAUGUCUUGGAGCAGAGAAACACGCUGUAUUGUUGCUUUUCUCUGUUGUAUAAGCAGCGCCCGUAGGUCAGAAACGCUGUGUGCGGGUAGCACAGUCGGCUCCAACGCACAUCCAGGCAUCCGUCUGAAAGAAAGGUGUCGCUGCAGCUAGGCUCUCAGGAUAGUCAUGCUUUUAUUUAUAUUUGCAUUCUGGUGCGUUAAACUAGCAGCCUCUGUGUCCCGCUUGGAUCAUCAUUCCGAAAAUUCAGAUAUUUAAAUAAAAUGGCGAAUUGGCUAGUGAUGAGGAAAGAAUAUGUGUUUGUUUGUUUUUAGAAGUAUCACAGUUUAUUUCUAAAGGAAUACAUGUUAUUUGUGACACUGUUUGAAAACUAAUAGCCUCUGUGUGUUUCAGAGCCCUAAAGAAAAAAGCAAAAUACCCCUAAACUAGUUAAAUUAAAAGUAAAAUGCUCGUGCUGAUGAACGAAAGUGUUAUGCUCUCAAGGACCGAUGUAAAGGGUUAGUGUGGCUGCUUAGGGCAUUUUUAUAUAGGUGUGGGGCUUGGUUUCAGCUGGCCUCUGAGAUGCAGAGAUAAAGGUGUAAACAAAGGUGAUGCCUGUUUGGAGGAUGGUCAGUACAAAGUGUAAUGGCAUGAUAAAAGGUGAACGUGUAAUGGUGGCACCGAUGGACCUAGCACAGCCGGACCUCUGCCAUAAGAUAAAGGAGACUGUUUGUAUUGAAAACUAUGGCAGUACAAUUGAGAUGCUGUUGAUAAGGAUGGCCUCUUCUGCUGACUGUAGGGGGUCUAACUGUAACCCCCUCUGUCUAAAUGUUGCAGAAUUAAGAAUCCCUGUUUAUUUCUAAAGGAAUGCCUGCUGUUUGUGGUAUUCUGUUUGAAACUAUUAGCCUCUGUGUGUGAAUAUGUGUUUUUAGAAGGUGGAAAAAACUUUCUGUUUAAAAACUAUUAGCCUCUGUGUGUUUCAGAGCCCUAAAGAAAAAAGCAAAAUGCUCCUAAAACAGUUACAUUAAAUGCUGUGUGUGAAUAUGUGUUUUUAGAAGGUGGAAAAAACUUUCUGUUUAAAAACUGUUAGCCUCUGUGUGUGUUUCAGAGCCCUAAAGAAAAAUACCCCUAAACUAGUUAAAUUAAAUCAUCUAUGUCUAAAUAACAGAACUCUGAGACCUAUACAAUCCUUUAAAAAAGAGUUUAAGUAAAACACAUAAUGGUUUCAUUAAAUAAAACGCUAUUAAACACAUGUAAACAUAUGAUCUCUGAACUGCAAAGUCCGUUCACGCGCACAUGCACACGCAAGGUCCGUUCGCGCACACAUGGACGCGGAGGGGGAUGCGGGUGGGGGUGUGGGGGGUGAGGGGUGGGGGGGGGGCAAAAAAAGCUAUAGGUAUAUUACUACUCUCAGAGGUACACAGUCGAAUACCUUCUCCAAGUCUACAAAACACUGGUUGGGCAAAGUCCCAUGCACCCUCAAGAAUCUUCGUCUCAGGUCUCAUGCAUCCUUUUAUUGCGGUAAGUUCGAUCACUUGAUAUCUUCAUGUCCUAAGAAAGUAAAAGGUUCUGCCCACUGGUAGAUUUGGGGUUACGAGUGGGCGGAACACACAUUAGCUCAAAACCCCAUUUUCAGCUCCCAGUUUCACCGUUUCACUGGAGCAGAACAGAAUUUAAUCGACUCUGAGUUACACAGUUAAACAUUCCCCUCAGGGAGUUAGAUCUGCCCGUGUUUGCGCACAUAACUCAUCAGACAGAGCUCGUCAGAUUUGUCACCUCAAGUAAUCAUAGGGAAACACUCACCUUUUUUAUGUUCCGCUCGCCGGACACCUCACUGAUUCUGGGCUUCCCCUAGCUAGAGGUACACAAUCCCCACUUAGACUGGGCAGGCCAGAGAGUAGCCAACUUGAACUACAGGAAGUAUUAAGCAAAAGCAAAGCCUUCACCUUGCCAAUCCACAGACAGACCUUGCGAUUGCGACAUCAAGCUACUCCCAGGCGCUACUCUGCCAUCAAGCCAGCUCUAUAACCUGUCCCAUCCAGAGCGCGCUGCUAUGGAGAAAUACAUUAAAGAAUCACUCGCAGCAGCCAUCAUUCGCCCUUGCUUCUCUCCAGUGGAGGGUAGGGUUUUUCUUCGUAGGCAAAAAGUACAGUUCAACACUCCUUCUCUCCUCUCGUUGCUGUGUCCGGAACUCUGGAACUCCGUAAUGUCACGUGUCUGUUUACUGCUUCUAGUGCUAAUUGUCUUUCAUAGAGUUUUCCCCUCUUCCUUGUAUAUAGCUUUGCUCAUUUUCAUAGUCGCACUAGUUUGCCCACACACUUGUAUAUAUCUCACAGCACUAGUAUUUUGCCACAUCCGUGUAAGUAGCCCUCAUUUCAUUAGUUUGCGUCUGUGGCGGGGUGUGGUCCGUGGCACAGCUGUGGGGGAUCUGACCACAGAGCUCAUGAUAUAAUUACAAAAAUAAUCAUCGACCUGCGGCCUUGGGUGUCCUGGUGCCACAUAUACUUAUGGACACCCUUAUGUUUGAACAUGGUGUUUGUUAUGGACAAACUCUGGUUUGCACAGUCAAGUAACAGAACACCGCUCAGGUUAAAGACCGACAGGUCGUUCCUCCCAGUCAGGCCCCUCCAGGUCUCACUGUCAUUGCCCACAAGUGCAUUGAAGUUUCCCAGGAGAAUGACAGAGUCCCCAGGUCAAGUGCCCUCAAGCUCCUCACCC
Long non-coding RNA from Oreochromis aureus, 3347 nucleotides. The record is from Ensembl. NCBI's taxonomy places the organism in Eukaryota, Metazoa, Chordata, Actinopteri, Cichliformes, Cichlidae.